GCCGCCUAACUGGGAAUACUCCCUACUGACCAUGGUGAUCCCGGAGCUCUCACUUCACUCGUAAUGAAGGGGUCAAGGGUUCGAUUCCCUUAGGCGGCUCCA
Molecule: transfer RNA, 102 nt
Filed under: Microbispora oryzae
Lineage: Bacteria; Bacillati; Actinomycetota; Actinomycetes; Streptosporangiales; Streptosporangiaceae
Description: tRNA-OTHER
Source: RNAcentral